CGAAGGGUGCAAGCGUUACUCGGAAUUACUGGGCGUAAAGCGUGCGUAGGUGGUUUGUUAAGUCUGUCGUGAAAUCCCCGGGCUCAACCUGGGAAUGGCGAUGGAUACUGGCAAGCUAGAGUGAGGUAGAGGAGAGUGGAAUUCCCGGUGUAGCAGUGAAAUGCGCAGAGAUCGGGAGGAACAUCAGUUGCGAAGGCGGCUCUCUGGACCAUCACUGACACUGAGGCACGAAAGCGUGGGGAGCAAACAGGAUUAGAUACCCUGGUAGUCCACGCCCUAAACGAUGCGAACCGGACGUUGGGCUCAAUUAGGAGCUCAGUGUCGAAGCUAACGCGUUAAGUUCGCCGCCUGGGGAGUACGGUCGCAAGACUG
RNAcentral lists this ribosomal RNA (372 nucleotides) under uncultured organism. RNAcentral describes it as "bacterial SSU rRNA". It matches the Rfam family "Bacterial small subunit ribosomal RNA", at positions 526 to 896 of the family's 1533-position model. The record is from RNAcentral.